RNAcentral lists this ribosomal RNA (499 nucleotides) under uncultured Glomeromycotina. Its description in RNAcentral is "partial small subunit ribosomal RNA". It matches the Rfam family "Eukaryotic small subunit ribosomal RNA", at positions 591 to 1092 of the family's 1831-position model. Lineage: Eukaryota; Fungi; Glomeromycota. The record is from RNAcentral.
CCAAUAGCGUAUAUUAAAGUUGUUGCAGUUAAAAAGCUCGUAGUUGAAUUUCGGGAUCAAGUUGUUGGUCGUGCCUUGGUACGUACUGGUGACAUUGGUUUCUCCCUUCUGAAGAACCUUGAUGUCAUUAAUUUGAUGUCUUGGGGAAUCAGGACUGUUACUUUGAAAAAAUUAGAGUGUUUAAAGCAGGCUCACGCUUGAAUACAUUAGCAUGGAAUAAUGAAAUAGGACGUUUGAUUCUAUUUUGUUGGUUUCUAGGAUUGACGUAAUGAUUAAUAGGGAUAGUUGGGGGCAUUAGUAUUCAAUUGUCAGAGGUGAAAUUCUUGGAUUUAUUGAAGACUAACUACUGCGAAAGCAUUUGCCAAGGAUGUUUUCACUAAUCAAGAACGAAAGUUAGGGGAUCGAAGACGAUCAGAUACCGUCGUAGUCUUAACCAUAAACUAUGCCGACUAGGGAUUGGAUGAUGUUAAUUUUUUAAUGACUCAUUCAGCGCCUUACG